RNAcentral lists this transfer RNA (75 nucleotides) under compost metagenome. RNAcentral describes it as "tRNA-Gly". It matches the Rfam family "tRNA". From Rfam's summary of the family: Transfer RNA (tRNA) molecules are approximately 80 nucleotides in length. Their secondary structure includes four short double-helical elements and three loops (D, anti-codon, and T loops). The record is from RNAcentral.
GCCUCACUCGUCCAGCGGCUAGGAUGUCUGCCUUCCAAGCAGAAGACUGGGGUUCGAGUCCCCUGUGAGGCUCCA